GGUAGCUCAGCUGGAUAGAGCAACGGCCUUCUAAGCCGUGGGUCGCAGGUUCGAAUCCUGUCC
This 63-nucleotide transfer RNA is filed under the name uncultured Anaeroplasma sp. It matches the Rfam family "tRNA", at positions 6 to 65 of the family's 71-position model. From Rfam's summary of the family: Transfer RNA (tRNA) molecules are approximately 80 nucleotides in length. Their secondary structure includes four short double-helical elements and three loops (D, anti-codon, and T loops). Lineage: Bacteria; Bacillati; Mycoplasmatota; Mollicutes; Anaeroplasmatales; Anaeroplasmataceae. The record is from RNAcentral.